RNAcentral lists this transfer RNA (73 nucleotides) under Felis catus (domestic cat). It matches the Rfam family "tRNA". Rfam says of the family: Transfer RNA (tRNA) molecules are approximately 80 nucleotides in length. Lineage: Eukaryota; Metazoa; Chordata; Mammalia; Carnivora; Felidae. The record is from Rfam by way of RNAcentral. RNAcentral also lists the same sequence under 2 other names.
GCCUGGCUGGCUCAGUCAGUAGAGCAUGGGACUCUUGAUCUUUGGGUCAUGAGUUCAAGCCCCACGAUGGGCA